Molecule: ribosomal RNA, 500 nt
Filed under: uncultured bacterium
Lineage: Bacteria
Description: partial 16S ribosomal RNA
Rfam family: Bacterial small subunit ribosomal RNA
Source: RNAcentral
AUUGAACGCUGGCGGCAUGCCUAACACAUGCAAGUCGAGCGGAUGACGGGAGCUUGCUCCUUGAUUCAGCGGCGGACGGGUGAGUAAUGCCUAGGAAUCUGCCUGGUAGUGGGGGACAACGUUUCGAAAGGAACGCUAAUACCGCAUACGUCCUACGGGAGAAAGCAGGGGACCUUCGGGCCUUGCGCUAUCAGAUGAGCCUAGGUCGGAUUAGCUUGUUGGUGAGGUAAUGGCUCAUCAAGGCGACGAUCCGUAACUGGUCUGAGAGGAUGAUCAGUCACACUGGAACUGAGACACGGUCCAGACUCCUACGGGAGGCAGCAGUGGGGAAUAUUGGACAAUGGGCGAAAGCCUGAUCCAGCCAUGCCGCGUGUGUGAAGAAGGUCUUCGGAUUGUAAAGCACUUUAAGUUGGGAGGAAGGGUUGUAGAUUAAUACUCUGCAAUUUUGACGUUACCGACAGAAUAAGCACCGGCUAACUCUGUGCCAGCCGCCGCCGUAA